CUCACUGUGGACUCAAUAUGGAUCGAAUCUCGAGACGUCAAAUUCUAACAAAUAGAUUGUCUAAUCCAUAAAUCCAGCAAAAAAAUCCAGCCCAAUCGUGCAAGUCUAUUCAAACAGACGCUUAGAGGAAAGCUUAACUGACAUAACAAGGAAAAUAGAUGCAGAUCAACUUUCAAAACAGGACCUACUUGAUACAAUAUCUGGGAGCACAUAACCAU
RNAcentral lists this long non-coding RNA (218 nucleotides) under Elaeis guineensis (African oil palm). Its description in RNAcentral is "long non-coding RNA (EGUI_LNC020806)". The record is from RNAcentral. Lineage: Eukaryota; Viridiplantae; Streptophyta; Magnoliopsida; Arecales; Arecaceae.